This 380-nucleotide ribosomal RNA is filed under the name uncultured soil bacterium. RNAcentral describes it as "bacterial SSU rRNA". It matches the Rfam family "Bacterial small subunit ribosomal RNA", at positions 26 to 399 of the family's 1533-position model. The record is from RNAcentral.
AGAUUGAACGCUGGCGGCAUGCCUUACACAUGCAAGUCGAACGGCAGCACGGGAGCAAUCCUGGUGGCGAGUGGCGAACGGGUGAGUAAUACAUCGGAACGUGCCCAAUCGUGGGGGAUAACGCAGCGAAAGUUGUGCUAAUACCGCAUAAGAUCUACGGAUGAAAGCAGGGGAUCGCAAGACCUUGCGCGAAUGGAGCGGCCGAUGGCAGAUUAGGUAGUUGGUGAGGUAAAGGCUCACCAAGCCUUCGAUCUGUAGCUGGUCUGAGAGGACGACCAGCCACACUGGGACUGAGACACGGCCCAGACUCCUACGGGAGGCAGCGAGUACGGGGUAAGUUUUGGAACAAGUGGGACGAAAGCCUAGAUCCAGCCAUGCCG